Molecule: unclassified non-coding RNA, 327 nt
Filed under: soil metagenome
Description: partial contains 5.8S ribosomal RNA, internal transcribed spacer 2, and large subunit ribosomal RNA
Rfam family: 5.8S ribosomal RNA (bases 1-120)
Source: RNAcentral
GAUGAAGAACGUAGUGAAAUGCGAUAAGUAGUGUGAAUUGCAGAAUUCAGUGAAUCAUCGAAUCUUUGAACGCACAUUGCGCCCCUUGGUAUUCCGAGGGGCAUGCCUGUUCGAGCGUCAUUAUAACCCCUCAAGCUCGGCUUGGUGUUGGGGCCUGCCGCACGGGCAGCCCUUAAAAUCAGUGGCGGUGCCAUCUGGCUCUAAGCGUAGUAAUUCUUCUCGCUAUAGAGUCCCGGUGGAUGCUUGCCAUUAACCCCCAAUUUCAAUGGUUGACCUCGGAUCAGGUAGGGAUACCCGCUGAACUUAAGCAUAUCAAUAAGCGGAGGA